RNAcentral lists this ribosomal RNA (489 nucleotides) under uncultured Escherichia sp. RNAcentral describes it as "bacterial SSU rRNA". It matches the Rfam family "Bacterial small subunit ribosomal RNA", at positions 950 to 1439 of the family's 1533-position model. Lineage: Bacteria; Pseudomonadati; Pseudomonadota; Gammaproteobacteria; Enterobacterales; Enterobacteriaceae. The record is from RNAcentral.
UUCGAUGCAACGCGAAGAACCUUACCUGGUCUUGACAUCCACGGAAGUUUUCAGAGAUGAGAAUGUGCCUUCGGGAACCGUGAGACAGGUGCUGCAUGGCUGUCGUCAGCUCGUGUUGUGAAAUGUUGGGUUAAGUCCCGCAACGAGCGCAACCCUUAUCCUUUGUUGCCAGCGGUCCGGCCGGGAACUCAAAGGAGACUGCCAGUGAUAAACUGGAGGAAGGUGGGGAUGACGUCAAGUCAUCAUGGCCCUUACGACCAGGGCUACACACGUGCUACAAUGGCGCAUACAUAGAGAAGCGACCUCGCGGGAGCAAGCGGACCUCAUAAAGUGCGUCGUAAUCCGGAUUGGAGUCUGCAACUCGACUCCAUGAAGUCGGAAUCGCUAGUAAUCGUGGAUCAGAAUGCCACGGUGAAUACGUUCCCGGGCCUUGUACACACCGCCCGUCACACCAUGGGAGUGGGUUGCAAAAGAAGUAGGUAGCUUAAC